RNAcentral lists this ribosomal RNA (158 nucleotides) under uncultured bacterium. RNAcentral's name for it is "partial 16S ribosomal RNA". It matches the Rfam family "Bacterial small subunit ribosomal RNA", at positions 334 to 496 of the family's 1533-position model. The record is from RNAcentral.
GACUCCUACGGGAGGCAGCAGUGGGGAAUCUUCCGCAAUGGGCGAAAGCCUGACGGAGCAAGAGGCAGCAGCGCCGCGUGAGUGAAGAAGGCCUUCGGGUCGUAAAACUCUGUCUUCAGGGAAGAAAAAAAUGACGGUACCUGAGGAGGAAGCCCCGG